Molecule: long non-coding RNA, 1307 nt
Organism: Oreochromis aureus
Lineage: Eukaryota; Metazoa; Chordata; Actinopteri; Cichliformes; Cichlidae
Source: Ensembl
CGGCUGUUCAGCUAACACUGGGUGGCGUACCCUCACUGCUCAUCUAACACCUGUGCGAAGGUGGCUCGCCACACCCUUCAGGUCCUGUGCUGAAGUUACUGCAGUGGCUGAAGCUAAUUAGCAAACUAGGGCUACUAGUGAUGCUGUUAAGAUAAGAUAAGAUAAGAUAAGAUGACCUUUAUUAGUCCCACAGGUGGGAAAUUUGUUUAAAAAUUACGAGAAGAAAAAAGAUAAGAAGGAAAGAAACUCAGAAUGAGCAGAGCUGCUGUAACAGGCUGCCGCACACGGGGGGCGCCGGAAGCUACACCUGUAAAGGGAAAUCAGCACCUGCAGGACUGGUGAUAUGUUCCCUGUCCACAGGAUACUCAUCCAGGCUUCAUUUACACUGUAGAUGAAAUGAUGGCGUCCCGCUGACUGAUGACUGGCUGCACGCUCUGGGAACAGUUUGGGGAUGGCCACUUCCUGUUCCAACAUGACUGCGCACCGGUGCACAAAACGAGGUCCAUAAAGACAUGGAAGAGCGACUUUUGUGUGGAAGAACUUGACUGGCCUGCACUGAGUCCUGACGUCAAUCCAAAGGAACACCUUUAGGAUGAAUUAGAGUGGAGACUGUGAGACAGGCCUUCUCGUCUAACAUCAGUGUCGGACCUCAUAAAUGUGCUUCUGGAAGAAUGGUAAAAAUUCCCAUAAAUGCACUCCUAAACUUGUGGAAAGCCUUCCCAGAAAAGUUGAAGCUGUUAUAGCUGCAGAGGGUGGGCCAACUUCAUGUUAAAGUUCAAAGUUCAUAUGCGUGUGAAUAGACAGUUUUAUUUAAUAGUGGAUGUUUUCCUAAUCCUCAGUGGCCGAUUUUGUGCGCAGAUGUUAACCAUAGUGUUAAUGUCACAACAUAAACAUUUUCUUGUAUAAUAAAAUUCACAAUAAUUACAGUAAUUUAAAACAGAGGUGGAAAUUACAAAUCAUGCCAAUUUUUAAAAACUGUUCAGUUCAGAGUAAAGUUUAUUAGACGUCUACACGUAAAGAUCAGUCAUUCACAUGCAGUCCAGUUCAGUACACACAGCAGUAGAUUAAGAUAUAUUUAUUCAUCCCACAUCACAACAGCUUCUCACUACAUAUUGCCUACACUGUAUAGACGUUAUGUAAAUCAGUGUACAUCAAUAUUUUUGAUGUCAAAGAAGACUCUAAAUUGGAAAACAUGAGCUUUAUCAAUUAUGAAUAUAAAACUGUAAACAUUUUAUUGCAGCUGAAAUUAAAUAGACUUUUUCAUUAUCUAGCUUUGACUCUAUUGAGAUGUUAUUCCAGAAGAAGUG